AACCUCCGCAAUGUACGAAAGUGCGACGGGGGGAUCCCAAGUGUUAUGCUUAAAGGUAUGACUUUUCAUUAGUGUAAAAAGCUUUUAGAAUAAGAGCUGGGCAAGACCGGUGCCAGCCGCCGCGGUAACACCGGCAGCUCGAGUGGUAGCUGUUUUUAUUGGGCCUAAAGCGUUCGUAGCCGGUUUAAUAAGUCUUUGGUGAAAGCUUGUAGCUUAACUAUAAGAAUUGCUGGAGAUACUAUUAGACUUGAAGUCGGGAGAGGUUAGAGGUACUACCGGGGUAGGGGUGAAAUCCUAUAAUCCUGGGAGGACCACCUGUGGCGAAGGCGUCUAACUGGAACGAUCUUGACGGUGAGUAACGAAAGCCAGGGGCGCGAACCGGAUUAGAUACCCGGGUAGUCCUGGCCGUAAACGAUGUGGACUUGGUGUUGGAAUGGCUUUGAGUUGUUCCGGUGCCGAGGAAGCUGUAAGUCCACCGCCUGGAAGUCGGUCGCAAGAUUGAAACUUAAAGGAAUU
Molecule: ribosomal RNA, 516 nt
Filed under: uncultured bacterium
Lineage: Bacteria
Description: bacterial SSU rRNA
Rfam family: Archaeal small subunit ribosomal RNA
Source: RNAcentral